RNAcentral lists this ribosomal RNA (253 nucleotides) under uncultured bacterium. RNAcentral's name for it is "partial 16S ribosomal RNA". It matches the Rfam family "Bacterial small subunit ribosomal RNA", at positions 524 to 776 of the family's 1533-position model. The record is from RNAcentral.
GACGGAGGGGGCAAGCGUUGUCCGGAAUCACUGGGCGUAAAGGGCGCGUAGGCGGCCCGGUAAGUAGGGGGUGAAAUCUUGCGGCUUAACCGCAAGGCUGCCUUCUAAACUGCCAGGCUUGAGCACAGUAGAGGCAGGUGGAAUUCCCGGUGUAGCGGUGGAAUGCGUAGAGAUCGGGAAGAACAUCGGUGGCGAAGGCGGCCUGCUGGGCUGUUGCUGACGCUGAGGCGCGACAGCGUGGGGAGCAAACAGG